CUUGGAGAAGCCCCAAGUUGAAGGCCAUUCGGCCAUGUGCACCCCAACAAGAACCUUGAGAAAAAUUUGUUCAAAAAUUAUUUUCCUACUAAUUGGAAGGUCCCUAGCAAAGUGGAGUACCUAUUGGAGCAAGAAAAACAUCUAUUCUUGCAAGUUCAUAACCAUGGUCAAGUGCAGAAGUUGAAGGAAAAAAACUAACAAGUUUGGAUAAAUAAGCGUAGCUAAUAAGGCGUGACACAGGUACCUACAGACGAAUAGAAGGUUUGUCAGAAGAUGUUUCAGCAGGAUUGACGAGCUCCAUUUAUUUCUGGAGCGUUGCCGAGUCAGAGUAUAUGUAUGUUCUGAUUUCUAGAUUGAUGUUAGAGACUUUGGAGACAGCGUCGUGGGUAUUGGUUGUCAGUCUGUAAGUGGCUCCAUCAGCCGAUUUGUCAUUCUGUGUUAUGUAAUAAAUUUUAUAUAAUUACAGAUUUUGUUUAAUUUUGAGAACGAUAAAGGAAAGAUUUCGAAAGCUUAAUAUGUAUUUUACUUUUAUUUGAUUUUCAGAGUCCGAAGAA
Lycium barbarum (goji berry) is the source of this 554-nucleotide long non-coding RNA. RefSeq lists it as uncharacterized. The record is from RefSeq and is a predicted model, not a curated record. The transcript is spliced from 3 exons. Lineage: Eukaryota; Viridiplantae; Streptophyta; Magnoliopsida; Solanales; Solanaceae.